CGCCAGACUCCUACGGGAGGCAGCAGUGGGGAAUAUUGCACAAUGGGGGGAACCCUGAUGCAGCGACGCCGCGUGGGUGAAGGAGUACUUCGGUACGUAAAGCCCUAUCAGCAGGAAAGAAAAUGACGGUACCUGAUUAAGAAGCCCCGGCUAACUACGUGCCAGCAGCCGCGGUAAUACGUAGGGGGCAAGCGUUAUCCGGAUUUACUGGGUGUAAAGGGGGCGCAGACGGCGAUGCAAGCCAGGAGUGAAAGCCCGGGGCCCAACCCCAGGACUGCUCUUGGAACUGCGUGGCUGGAGUGCAGGAGGGGCAGGCGGAAUUCCUGGUGUAGCGGUGAAAUGCGUAGAUAUUAGGAGGAACACCAGUGGCGAAGGCGGCGUACUGGACGAUGACUGACGCUGAGGCUCGAAAGCGUGGGGAGCAAACAGGAUUAGAUACCCUAGUAUCA
This 449-nucleotide ribosomal RNA is filed under the name uncultured bacterium. Its description in RNAcentral is "bacterial SSU rRNA". It matches the Rfam family "Bacterial small subunit ribosomal RNA", at positions 329 to 795 of the family's 1533-position model. The record is from RNAcentral.